RNAcentral lists this ribosomal RNA (253 nucleotides) under uncultured bacterium. RNAcentral's name for it is "partial 16S ribosomal RNA". It matches the Rfam family "Bacterial small subunit ribosomal RNA", at positions 524 to 776 of the family's 1533-position model. The record is from RNAcentral.
UACAUAGGUCCCGAGCGUUGUCCGGAUUCACUGGGCGUAAAGCGCGCGUAGGCGGCAUAGAAAGUUUGAUGUGAAAGCUCAGGGCUUAACCCUGAAAUGGCAUUGAAUACUGCUGUGCUGGAGGUUUGGAGGGGGGACUGGAAUUCUUGGUGUAGCAGUGAAAUGCGUAGAUAUCAAGAGGAACACCAGUGGCGAAGGCGAGUCCCUGGACAACACCUGACACUGAGGCACGAAAGCUAGGGGAGCAAACAGG